CCUGAAAACCUGCAGCCUGAUAAGCCGUCCUGCUGGAAGUUUCAGCCCUCUUAUCCAUAGGGUCUUUCAGACCAGAAACUUCCCCAGUAGGUAUGGUAGUUUUUUUAGACAAUUGAGCCACUUGUACAUCAACUACCGGCAAUUCUUCCCAUUUAUCUUCCUCCUCCAUUUUAACAAUACUUUUAAAAUGUCUGGAGAUAAAAGUAUUCUUCCAGGGUUCCUCCAUUCUCUG
This is a non-coding RNA of Pelobates cultripes (western spadefoot toad), 232 nucleotides long. NCBI's taxonomy places the organism in Eukaryota, Metazoa, Chordata, Amphibia, Anura, Pelobatidae. The record is from the annotation of a GenBank genome assembly.